RNAcentral lists this ribosomal RNA (501 nucleotides) under uncultured bacterium. Its description in RNAcentral is "bacterial SSU rRNA". It matches the Rfam family "Bacterial small subunit ribosomal RNA", at positions 62 to 543 of the family's 1533-position model. The record is from RNAcentral.
UCGCACGAGAAAGGGCUUCGGCCCCGGUAAAGUGGCGCACGGGUGAGUAACACGUGGGUAAUCUGCCCUCGAGCGGGGGAUAACAUUCCGAAAGGAGUGCUAAUACCGCAUAAGACCACGACCUCGAAAGAGGAUGGGGUUAAAGCUGGCCUCUAUUCAUAAGCUAGCACUUGAGGAUGAGCCCGCGGCGCAUCAGCUAGUUGGUGGGGUAAUGGCCCACCAAGGCUAAGACGCGUAGCUGGUCCGAGAGGAUGAUCAGCCACACUGGAACUGAGACACGGUCCAGACUCCUACGGGAGGCAGCAGUGGGGAAUCUUGCGCAAUGGGCGAAAGCCUGACGCAGCGACGCCGCGUGAGUGAUGAAGGCCUUCGGGUUGUAAAGCUCUGUGGGGAGAGACGAAUAGGUGCAGCCUAAUACGUUGCAUGAUGACGGUAUCUCCUUAGCAAGCACCGGCUAACUCUGUGCCAGCAGCCGCGGUAAGACAGAGGGUGCAAACGUUG